RNAcentral lists this ribosomal RNA (1409 nucleotides) under Lactiplantibacillus plantarum. Its description in RNAcentral is "Lactobacillus plantarum partial 16S ribosomal RNA". It matches the Rfam family "Bacterial small subunit ribosomal RNA". The record is from RNAcentral. Lineage: Bacteria; Bacillati; Bacillota; Bacilli; Lactobacillales; Lactobacillaceae.
UAACACCUGGAAACAGAUGCUAAUACCGCAUAACAACUUGGACCGCAUGGUCGAGCUUGAAAGAUGGCUUCGGCUAUCACUUUUGGAUGGUCCCGCGGCGUAUUAGCUAGAUGGUGGGGUAACGGCUCACCAUGGCAAUGAUACGUAGCCGACCUGAGAGGGUAAUCGGCCACAUUGGGACUGAGACACGGCCCAAACUCCUACGGGAGGCAGCAGUAGGGAAUCUUCCACAAUGGACGAAAGUCUGAUGGAGCAACGCCGCGUGAGUGAAGAAGGGUUUCGGCUCGUAAAACUCUGUUGUUAAAGAAGAACAUAUCUGAGAGUAACUGUUCAGGUAUUGACGGUAUUUAACCAGAAAGCCACGGCUAACUACGUGCCAGCAGCCGCGGUAAUACGUAGGUGGCAAGCGUUGUCCGGAUUUAUUGGGCGUAAAGCGAGCGCAGGCGGUUUUUUAAGUCUGAUGUGAAAGCCUUCGGCUCAACCGAAGAAGUGCAUCGGAAACUGGGAAACUUGAGUGCAGAAGAGGACAGUGGAACUCCAUGUGUAGCGGUGAAAUGCGUAGAUAUAUGGAAGAACACCAGUGGCGAAGGCGGCUGUCUGGUCUGUAACUGACGCUGAGGCUCGAAAGUAUGGGUAGCAAACAGGAUUAGAUACCCUGGUAGUCCAUACCGUAAACGAUGAAUGCUAAGUGUUGGAGGGUUUCCGCCCUUCAGUGCUGCAGCUAACGCAUUAAGCAUUCCGCCUGGGGAGUACGGCCGCAAGGCUGAAACUCAAAGGAAUUGACGGGGGCCCGCACAAGCGGUGGAGCAUGUGGUUUAAUUCGAAGCUACGCGAAGAACCUUACCAGGUCUUGACAUACUAUGCAAAUCUAAGAGAUUAGACGUUCCCUUCGGGGACAUGGAUACAGGUGGUGCAUGGUUGUCGUCAGCUCGUGUCGUGAGAUGUUGGGUUAAGUCCCGCAACGAGCGCAACCCUUAUUAUCAGUUGCCAGCAUUAAGUUGGGCACUCUGGUGAGACUGCGGUGACAAACCGGAGGAAGGUGGGGAUGACGUCAAAUCAUCAUGCCCCUUAUGACCUGGGCUACACACGUGCUACAAUGGAUGGUACAACGAGUUGCGAACUCGCGAGAGUAAGCUAAUCUCUUAAAGCCAUUCUCAGUUCGGAUUGUAGGCUGCAACUCGCCUACAUGAAGUCGGAAUCGCUAGUAAUCGCGGAUCAGCAUGCCGCGGUGAAUACGUUCCCGGGCCUUGUACACACCGCCCGUCACACCAUGAGAGUUUGUAACACCCAAAGUCGGUGGGGUAACCUUUUAGGAACCAGCCGCCUAAGGUGGGACAGAUGAUUAGGGUGAAGUCGUAACAAGGUAGCCGUAGGAGAACCUGCGGCUGGAUCACCUCCUUUCUAAGGAA